RNAcentral lists this ribosomal RNA (267 nucleotides) under uncultured prokaryote. Its description in RNAcentral is "partial 16S ribosomal RNA". It matches the Rfam family "Bacterial small subunit ribosomal RNA", at positions 355 to 614 of the family's 1533-position model. The record is from RNAcentral.
UAGGGAAUAUUGGUCAAUGGGCGCAAGCCUGAACCAGCCAUGCCGCGUGAGUGAUGAAGGCCUUCGGGUCGUAAAACUCUUUUCUGAGGGAAGAACAUCCUGCGUAGGAAAUGACGCGGGCUUGACGGUACCUCAGGACUAAGCAACGGCUAACCCCGUGCCAGCAGCCGCGGUAAUACGGAGGUUGCGAGAGUUGUUCGGAAUAACUGGGCGUAAAGGGAGCGCAGGCGGUUGGGUAAGUCUAAAGUGAAAGCCCGGGGCUCAACU